RNAcentral lists this ribosomal RNA (253 nucleotides) under uncultured bacterium. RNAcentral describes it as "partial 16S ribosomal RNA". It matches the Rfam family "Bacterial small subunit ribosomal RNA", at positions 524 to 776 of the family's 1533-position model. The record is from RNAcentral.
UACGGGGGGGGCAAGCGUUGUUCGGAAUUACUGGGCGUAAAGGGCUCGUAGGCGGCCAACUAAGUCGGAUGUGAAAUCCCCAGGCUCAACUUGGGAACUGCAUCCGAUACUGGAUGGCUUGAAUUCGGGAGAGGGAUGCAGAAUUCCAGGUGUAGCGGUGAAAUGCGUAGAUAUCUGGAGGAACACCGGUGGCGAAGGCGCCACUCUGGGCCGAAACUGACGCUGAGGAGCGAAAGCGUGGGUAGCAAACAGG